ACCUGGCGCUAGGGAGGCCGCCAGCCGGCAUUCCAAUACGAAAGCCGAGACUGCGCUUCCUGCGCGGUCCCAACAGUCUUAGUUACGUGGUUAGAGCGAGCUUCGGAGAAGCAGUGGUGGUUUCCAUGUGACGGCGGAGGAAGAGGGAGGUCUUGGAGGUUCUUCUGGGUUGCUCUAAAUGACACUGUUUCAUUAUUUUGAUGGCCAAAUAAUAUUCCCUAGUGUAUGUAUAUGAGAGUUUCUUGAUCCCUUUACCUGUGAAUGAACAGGAGAUAAAACUUUUUUCAGUCUACAUGCCUGCGAUCACAUGGCAUGGGACUUUCUCUACCAGGCUCAUUUUUUAGACCUGAUGUGCUCCAGAUUUCUUUAUGUGGCUGCAGAUGGCAGGAUUUCCCAAAGCUUUGUGGCUGAAACAUAUUUCGUGGUGCAUCUGUACAGCAGUUUCUUCAUCCCUGCAGCUGUGUACGGACAGGUCAUUUACCAUGAUGUCCUCCAGGUUCAACAGUGUGGCUCCAAAUGAUGAAAUUUCAUUCUAUUUUUCUGGUUGAAGAAUAUUCUAUUCGUGUACAUCCACCACAGUUACUUUAUCCCUUCAUCUGUGGAUGGACAGGUUUUUCCACAUGGCUGCAAAUGACUAGAUUUCACCCAUUUCUAUGGUUGAAGAAUAUUCCGUUCUGGAUGAACAUUGCAGUUUCCUCAUCCCUUCAUCAAUGGAUGAAAAGGAGAAAAUCAGCUUCCUGUUUGGAUACUCAUUAGACAUUUAAAGUUCUACAAUGAACCCACUGGAGAUGGAAAGAAAAGCACCUCCAUGAAGAUGGAGACACCUCAAUCGAGCAUCCUCAACUAGCCAGAUGGAGUCUUCCUUCAACAGUGCUCUUCAGGGAAUUGGUGCUGAGGCAGGACAAGAAAACAGCAUGAUAUCAUGGAUUAGAAUUGAUAACUAAAGUAUAAAUAUUCUCAUUAUUUUUUUGGAAAAUUUACAGAAUGUAACAGCUGAUAAUAGCCAACAGAAUACAUGUGCACCCCAAAGUUAUUUGUUGUUUAUUUAAAUUUUAGAGUUAAUUUUAUGUCCUAUAUUUUUAUUUGAUGAAUCUCUCCACUAUGACAAAUCAUAAAACUUGCAAUAGUAUGGUACAGACAUGAAAGUAAUAGUCUAAAAUAAAAAAACAGAGACCUCAUCUAUGGGUGGGUCAGAGUGCACAAGAGAAUUGCAUUCUACCUGAUACUUUAAAAGCUCAUGAAUCUGAAUGUACACCUCAAUUCUCACUCUGAGAAAUGUCAGCCAGAAGCUGCUGGGAAUGACGAUCAAGUUCUUGGGCACCUCAGGAGACAGAUAACACAGAUCAAGUUUAUCCUCAUUACAUUGGCUUUCACCUUAGACUAUUCAAAAUAUUGUAAGCCUAAUGUGUCUGUGUAAUCACAAAUAAUGUGGGGAAAAUGUUACUAUUAAAUAAACCCAAAACAAAAGACUGAUUAUAAAGUCUGUGGGCUUAAAAGAGACCUCUGAAGAAAAAAGGAAUAUGCUAAAAGAAACAAGCCAUUUAUAAAACUUUAGGAGCUACUUUGCAUGAAACUAAUACAUUAUUUGAAAAAAAAAGUUUGUUUAAAUAUCUUUUUAAAAUCUUUAUCAUAAUGUAUCAUUUUAGUGUUAUUUUAUUUAUAAGAAUGAUGUUAGUGUAUAAACGAAUAUACAGUAAUCUUUUCAGUUGAGUGUAAUCUACAUGAGAAAAUUAUUCUGUGUUUUGUCUUAUUACUGAAUUAAUCAAAAAUGUCAUUUCAGUAUGCAUUUUAUCAUAUUCAUUGAGUAGCAUUUUAAGACCUGUGACUAGUCACUGACAACAGAAAAUGUGAGGAUUUCAGGUGAAAUAGCAAUGAAAUAUUUAGGUACAAAUCUAAUAAAAUAAAUAGAAGAUAUAUAUGAAGAAAUCUAAAAAACUGUGAUUAAAAACCUCAGAGAAGAUCUAAGUAAGGGAAGAGAUAAUCCACGUUUAAGAAUAGAAAGAUUGUUAAAAUGUCAGUAGUUCUCUACUUUAUCUACAUAUUCAAUGCAGCCCCACUCAAAAUUCCAGCAAGUUAGUUUGUGAAUUUUGACAAACUGAUUCUAAAAUUUAUAUUGAAAGACGAAAGACUCAGAAUAGCAAAGAAAAUAUUUAAAAAGAAAUGCUAUAGAAGUGACACUACCCAGCUUCAAGAACUCCUAUAAAGCUAUAGUAAUCAAGCAUGUGUCUUUGUAGUAGAAUAAUUUAUAAUCCUUUGGGUAUAUACCCAGUAGUGGGAUGGCUGGGUCAUAUGGUACAGCUAGUUCUAGAUCCUUGAGGAAUUGC
This is a long non-coding RNA of Piliocolobus tephrosceles (Ugandan red Colobus), 2324 nucleotides long. RefSeq lists it as uncharacterized. The transcript is spliced from 7 exons. NCBI's taxonomy places the organism in Eukaryota, Metazoa, Chordata, Mammalia, Primates, Cercopithecidae. The record is from RefSeq and is a predicted model, not a curated record.